This 69-nucleotide transfer RNA is filed under the name Rattus norvegicus (Norway rat). It matches the Rfam family "tRNA". Rfam says of the family: Transfer RNA (tRNA) molecules are approximately 80 nucleotides in length. Their secondary structure includes four short double-helical elements and three loops (D, anti-codon, and T loops). Lineage: Eukaryota; Metazoa; Chordata; Mammalia; Rodentia; Muridae. The record is from Rfam by way of RNAcentral.
GGAGAUUUGGCUCAGUGGUAGAGCGCUUGCCUAGCAAGCGCAAGGCCCUGGGUUCAGUCCCCAGCUCUG